Molecule: long non-coding RNA, 655 nt
Organism: Portunus trituberculatus (swimming crab)
Lineage: Eukaryota; Metazoa; Arthropoda; Malacostraca; Decapoda; Portunidae
Exons: 2
Source: RefSeq, a predicted model, not a curated record
GACGAAGCAGCUGCGUAGUUUCCACCCACCAAUGCAGUCAACAACAAGGCGUCUGUUUAGAGCUCUCGUCACUGCACGCCUGUUUCUCUUUUGGCGAGCUUUGAUAAUGAAUCCUGUACAUUUAUACAUAAGUGAAAUAACAACAGAAAGCUUUACUCAAAAUUGAGCGUCCUUCAAAAUUGAGGAACGUGGAAUGGAGCCCUUACGCUGCACCUCCCGCAGCCACCACAAAUCAGCGGCCGGCGUGUGUCAAUAAGUGAGUGGGUGUCGCGACAACUGGUGCAGGUGUGCCGGGCCCGGGUGGAGGUCAAGGUCAAUGUUUGGUGCCACCGCAGACUGAGGUGGGAAAGUGUUGCUCAAAGACAGCGAUUGGAUCCCGGCAAGGCUGGCGUUCGAUAUAUGAAUUAAUAAGUGUGUGUGUGUGUGUGUGUGUGUGUGUUAGUACGUAUAAAAGUGCCUGACCAAGGGUAUGGAUCUCCUCCUUUUACUACUCUCCCUAUAAACGACUGAGUAAACUUGUUAGAGAUGUAGUGACUUCAUGACUUCUAUGAAAUAAAGCUUUCCAUCUGUAAUUAUUGGUAACUAGAAGUAACGUACAACAUUGCAUCUCAUUUUGAUCUCUGAAAAUGUAUCGAAAUAAAAAAGAUGAUUUCAA